Molecule: long non-coding RNA, 1094 nt
Filed under: Cricetulus griseus (Chinese hamster)
Lineage: Eukaryota; Metazoa; Chordata; Mammalia; Rodentia; Cricetidae
Description: lncRNA (ENSCGRG00015031776.1)
Source: RNAcentral
CCCCCUACCACCACCCCAACCCCAUCCACCCUCAACUCCCCAGGCAGGGUAUGGUCCUCGACGGGGGCUCCCCAAAGUCCACCCAUCAUCCUGGGCCAGGCCUAGGCCCUCCCCUAUGUGUCCAGGCCAAGAGUGCAUCCCUUCACAUGGGAUGGGCUCUCAAAGUCCCUUCUUACACCAGGGAAAAAUACUAAUCCACCACCAGGGCCCCCAAGAGUGCAGAGGCCUCCUAAUUGACAUCCAUGUUCAGGGGUCUGGAUCAGUCCCGUGCUGGCCUCCCAGACAGCAGUCUGGGGUCCAUGUGCUCCCCCUUGUUCAAGCCAGCUAUUUCUGUGGGUUUCAACAGCCUGGUACCUACCCCUUUGAUCCUCAUUCCUCCCUCUCUGUAACUAAGUUCCAGAGUUCAGUUCAGUGUAUAUCUGUUGGUGUCUGCCUCUGCUUCCAUCAGCCACUGGAUGAGGGCUCUGAGGUUCGGGUGCCAGCAACAGGACAGAGGACGGAGUGUGGACAGAGGUGAGUCAUAGAUCGGUGCCUAGCCAUUGUCAUCAGAGGUGCAUCGUCCAGCAACUGAUGGGAGGAGAUGCAGAGACCCACAGCCAAAAACUCAGCAGAGACAGGGAACCCUGAAGAAGAGUGAGAGGAAGUACUGUAGGUCCAGAACACCAGGGCCCACAGAAUCAACUAAACGGGACUCACAGGAGCUCAUCACAGAUACUGAGGUGACAAACACAGACCCUGUGUGGGUCUAUGCUAGGUCCUCUGCACAUACCUUAUGGGUGUGUAGCAUAGUGUUCUUGUGGGACUCCCAACAAUAAAAGCCAGGGGUGUCUCUUAUUCUUUUGCCUGUGCUUGGUACCCUUUUCCUCCUACAGGAUGCCAUGUUUGUAUGAGAGUUUGUACCCAGUCUUAUUGUAACUUGUCAUUUGUAUUCAGUGGAUAUUCCUGGGACGCCUGCCACCCCUCCCUCUGCAAGGGAAAUAGAGGAGUUGAUCUGGGGGAGCUGGGAAGUGUGUGUGGGAGACUAGGAGGAGCAGAGGGAGGGGAAACUUUGGUGGGGAUGUAAUGUAGGGAGAAGAAUAAAUAUUGAAAAAAAA